GAGGAGCCUGCUGCCGAUUAGCUAGUUGGCGGGGUAAAGGCCCACCAAGGCGACGAUCGGUAGCUGGUCUGAGAGGACGACCAGCCACACUGGGACUGAGACACGGCCCAGACUCCUACGGGAGGCAGCAGUGGGGAAUUUUUCGCAAUGGGCGCACAUGACGAAGCAAUGCCGCGUGGAUGAAGAAGGCCUUCGGGUUGUAAAGUCCUUUCGUGGGGGACGAAAAGGUGGGUUCUAAUACAAUCUGCUGUUGACGUGAACCCAAGAAGAAGCACCGGCUAACUCCGUGCCAGCAGC
Molecule: ribosomal RNA, 297 nt
Filed under: sulfur-oxidizing bacterium YARD3
Lineage: Bacteria
Description: partial 16S rRNA
Rfam family: Bacterial small subunit ribosomal RNA
Source: RNAcentral